UUGGUUCCGGUUCACGUCGGCCAUAGGGGCAGGCGACCCGGAUCC
Molecule: regulatory RNA element, 45 nt
Organism: Bifidobacterium actinocoloniiforme DSM 22766
Lineage: Bacteria; Bacillati; Actinomycetota; Actinomycetes; Bifidobacteriales; Bifidobacteriaceae
Rfam family: L31-Actinobacteria ribosomal protein leader
Source: Rfam